Long non-coding RNA from Magnolia sinica, 1476 nucleotides. RefSeq lists it as uncharacterized. The transcript is spliced from 2 exons. NCBI's taxonomy places the organism in Eukaryota, Viridiplantae, Streptophyta, Magnoliopsida, Magnoliales, Magnoliaceae. The record is from RefSeq and is a predicted model, not a curated record.
CACACACCACAUCCACUGCGGGGUUGCUCUAGUAGAAUAUAUAAGGAGAUGAGAUUACCUUUUUAUUUAUUUUAUUUAGUUUUUUUAAAGAUGAGAGGACACCAUCUCUAACUUUGUUAAUAUAAAUAAAAAUAUACACGUAUUCAUUUAGGCAGGCUCCACAAAAAAACAACCGACCUCAACCAUGCGACAACCACAAAUACGACACCAACAAGAAAACAAUACAAAACAACUUAAAGCCAACAACAAACCAUCCAAACAUGUCAAACCAAAUUUAAGCAGAGCUGCCUUGAGUCAAACAGCUACAGCUACCAAAACAGGCCUUCCGCUGCUCUAUAUCCAAUAACGCCCGCAGCCCACUGCUGUUAUCGAUCCGGCUCUACAUCAAUCGCCACAACCUCAUUAUCUACAACGGACGACUGCGCAGAUCUGUAAUAGGUCCGAAGGAGAACCAACUCUAGCAGAAUGACAAACACAACAUUCUACAAAGACCAAUUGCCACGGAGAUCUUUAUUUCCACCCACAGAAACCAUAUGCUUCAGUGUGGUGAUCAUUUCCUUUAUCUUACAUAAUCAAUCUGUGAGAAUUUUUAAGCUGCUUUCAAUGUGAAUGUUGUUCAUUUCGGAAUCCAUUUAUUAUAGCAUCUCUACCGUAACUUCAGUGAAAUGUUAAAAUCAUUCACUCUAUGGAAUUUCUGCUAACACCUCCACGCCGCUUUCCUUUGGAUUUCCUCUCAAUGAUCCAUCCACAUUUAGUUUAACCCAUUUCAACUCUGGCUUAUACCAUGUAGAUAUCACCAAGCUAUUCUCAAGCUUUGGAUUCAUCUGCACACCCGUUGCCUUGAAAGCAAUUGCAUCAGAGAAAAGAUUCUCCUUGACUGGGGAGAUCGUCUCACCUAUUUUCCUCAUCCAUAUGUAUACCUCACUUAUGGGAGCUGCGGUAUUAGCUAGCUUUCAAACUUAUAUUGGUUUUUUGGGGGGGUAAAUUACAUGGGCUUAAAACCUACAUGCCGAAGCUAAAGCAGUAGUGGACGGGCUGUAUUUAUGUUUGGAGCAUGGGUUCGGUAGAGUAGAAGUGGAAAGUGACUUGUUAGCGGUGGUGGCCUUGUAAUCCAAUGAAGGUCGAGUCCCGUGGAAUAUCUAGUACCACUGGAAGAAACGUUUUGAUUCUAUUCAGGGCGUUGCCCACGUCUCGAUUGAGCAUAUUUCGAGUGAGGCCAAUAGCGUGGCGGACUGCAUGGCUCACUUGGGUAGCACCUCUCAGUCGGCAACGGAAUUUCCUGCGGUUCGGGCCCUUCCUCUUCUUAUCGAAGGAGCGCUUGUCCUAGACCGGUCGGUCUUGGGGUUCUUAGGGAGAGAUAAUCACAGGUUUGAGGUUUACGAUAGGCUAGCUCAGCGUCCUUUUUGUGUCUGCCCGAAUGAAUUGCAUCUGUAUAGUUGCCUCAAAGAUUCAAUAAAAUCUCUCUUUUAUUUUUAA